UACGGGGGGUGCAAGCGUUAAUCGGAAUUACUGGGCGUAAAGGGUGCGUAGGUUGUUGUAUAAGUUAUAUGCUAAAUACCUGGGCUUAACCUGGGGAUUGCGUAUAAGGCUGUACGACUAGAGUUCAUCAGAGGGUGUGGGAAUUUCCGGUGUAGCGGUGAAAUGCGUAGAUAUCGGAAGGAACACUAGUGGCGAAGGCGCACACCUGGGAUGACACUGACACUGAGGCACGAAAGCGUGGGUAGCGAACAGG
Molecule: unclassified non-coding RNA, 253 nt
Filed under: uncultured Legionellaceae bacterium
Lineage: Bacteria; Pseudomonadati; Pseudomonadota; Gammaproteobacteria; Legionellales; Legionellaceae
Description: contains 16S-23S intergenic spacer region
Rfam family: Bacterial small subunit ribosomal RNA
Source: RNAcentral